RNAcentral lists this transfer RNA (69 nucleotides) under Ictidomys tridecemlineatus (thirteen-lined ground squirrel). RNAcentral's name for it is "Spermophilus tridecemlineatus (thirteen-lined ground squirrel) tRNA". It matches the Rfam family "tRNA". Rfam says of the family: Transfer RNA (tRNA) molecules are approximately 80 nucleotides in length. Their secondary structure includes four short double-helical elements and three loops (D, anti-codon, and T loops). The record is from Rfam by way of RNAcentral. Lineage: Eukaryota; Metazoa; Chordata; Mammalia; Rodentia; Sciuridae.
GGGGCUGUAGCUCAGUGGUAAAGCACUCGCCUCAAAUGUGUGAGGCACUGGGUUUGAUCCUCAGCACCA